UUGACCUCAAAUCGGGUGAGACUACCCGCUGAAACUUAAGCAUAUCAAUAAGCG
RNAcentral lists this ribosomal RNA (54 nucleotides) under Lactifluus glaucescens. RNAcentral's name for it is "partial 28S ribosomal RNA". The record is from RNAcentral. Lineage: Eukaryota; Fungi; Basidiomycota; Agaricomycetes; Russulales; Russulaceae.